GGGUUGAUGUACUAGUUACCUAAAAUCUUACGGGAUAUGUAGCAUGGAAAGGCAAGUCCAUCAUAAUGUUGCAGUUCACUGAAGUCCUCAGUGAACUGAGGAGUUGAAGGUUUCAGGUUUCUAUGCCUAAAAGCCUGCAAACGCAAAGCCAGGAAACUCAAAAACAUGUAGUAAGCAAUAGUGCAGCUGCAGUCACUACUUAGAAGAAUAGAGAUCACCUUUCCUGCC
This 228-nucleotide long non-coding RNA is filed under the name Setaria viridis. Its description in RNAcentral is "long non-coding RNA (SVIR_LNC002744)". Lineage: Eukaryota; Viridiplantae; Streptophyta; Magnoliopsida; Poales; Poaceae. The record is from RNAcentral.